AAUGAACGUUGGCGGCGUGCUUAACACAUGCAAGUCGAGCGAGAAAGCUCCUUCGGGAGCUAGUAUAGCGGCGGACGGGUGAGGAACGCGUAAGAAUCUACCCUUCAGUGAAGAAUACCCUUGAGAAAUCGAGGAUAAUACUGCAUAUUCCCUACGGGGCAAAGGUGGCUUUAUGCUGCCGCUGAAGGAUGAGCUUGCGUACUAUUAGCUAGUUGGUGAGGUAAAGGCUCACCAAGGCGAUGAUGGUUAGCCGGCCUGAGAGGGUGUACGGCCAAAUUGGGACUGAGAUACGGCCCAGACUCCUACGGGAGGCAGCAGUGGGGAAUAUUGGACAAUGGGGGGAACCCUGAUCUAGCCAUGCCGCGUGUGUGAAGAAGGCCUUAUGGUUGUAAAGCACUUUAAGCGAGGAGGAGGCUACUCUAGUUAAUACCUAGGGAUAGUGGACGUUACUCGCAGAAUAAGCACCGGCUAACUCUGUGCCAGCCGCCGCCGUAA
RNAcentral lists this ribosomal RNA (495 nucleotides) under uncultured bacterium. Its description in RNAcentral is "partial 16S ribosomal RNA". It matches the Rfam family "Bacterial small subunit ribosomal RNA", at positions 29 to 523 of the family's 1533-position model. The record is from RNAcentral.